GAUGAACGCUAGCGAUAGGCUUAACACAUGCAAGUCGAGGGGUAACGUGUUGGAAGCUUGCUUCCGAUGACGACGACCGGCGGAUGGGUGCGUAACGCGUAUGCAACUUGCCUCACAGUGGAGAAUAACCCGGAGAAAUCCGGACUAAUACUCCAUACACUCUUAAGUACGCCGGUACAUGAGAGGAAAGAUUUAUCGCUGUGAGAUAGGCAUGCGUCCUAUUAGGUAGUUGGGGAGGUAACGGCUCACCAAGCCGACGAUAGGUAGGGGUGCUGAGAGGCAGCUCCCCCACAUUGGGACUGAGCCACGGCCCAAACUCCUACGGGCGGCAGCAGUGAGGAGUAUUGGUCGAUGGAGGAAACUCUGAACCAGCCAAGUCGCGUGAAGGAAGAAUGUCCUAAGGAUUGUAAACUUCUUUAGCGAGCGAGUAAGGACUUCCACGUGAUGGGAGUUUGACAGUAGCUCGAGAAUAAGUAUCGGCUAACUCCGUG
Molecule: ribosomal RNA, 491 nt
Filed under: uncultured bacterium
Lineage: Bacteria
Description: partial 16S ribosomal RNA
Rfam family: Bacterial small subunit ribosomal RNA
Source: RNAcentral